CGUUGAUUACGUCCCUGCCCUUUGUACACACCGCCCGUCGCUACUACCGAUUGAAUGGCUCAGUGAGGCUUUCGGACUGGCCUAGGAAGAGUGGCAACACUCAUCUAGGGCCGGAAAGUUGUUCAAACUUGGUCAUUUAGAGGAAGUAAAAGUCGUAACAAGG
Molecule: ribosomal RNA, 163 nt
Filed under: Leohumicola sp.
Lineage: Eukaryota; Fungi; Ascomycota; Leotiomycetes
Description: partial small subunit ribosomal RNA
Rfam family: Eukaryotic small subunit ribosomal RNA
Source: RNAcentral